UCGAGAAUCUUCGGCAAUGGGCGCAAGCCUGACCGAGCGACGCCGCGUGCGGGACGAAGGCCGUUGUGUUGUAAACCGCUAUCAGGGGGGAGGAAAUGUCGGCCCUCAGGGUCGGCUUGACCUAUCCCCAGAGGAAGGACGGGCUAAGUUCGUGCCAGCAGCCGCGGUAAGACGAACCGUCCGAACGUUACUCGGAAUUACUGGGCUUAAAGGGUGCGUAGGCGGCUUUGCAAGUCGGAUGUGAAAUACCUCGGCUUAACCGAGGAACUGCAUUCGAAACUGCAAAGCUCGAGAGAGAUAGAGGUGAGCGGAACUUGGGGUGGAGCGGUGAAAUGCGUUGAUAUCCCAAGGAACACCGGAGGCGAAAGCGGCUCACUGGGUCUUUUCUGACGCUGAGGCACGAAAGCUAGGGUAGCAAACGG
Molecule: ribosomal RNA, 422 nt
Filed under: uncultured bacterium
Lineage: Bacteria
Description: bacterial SSU rRNA
Rfam family: Bacterial small subunit ribosomal RNA
Source: RNAcentral